UUAUCUCAGAAUAAUAGUUCAUGCAUACGAGAUUCAUGCAUAGUUUAAUUACGCAUUCUCAUUUAAUUGAGAAUUUUCCCUCGAUUUAAAGUCUUACGUUAUUUUCUCGGAUUAAAGGUCGAGCGCAAGAAUAAGAGCUCGUCAAGGAGUCACUAAUCUGUAGCAAAGCUUUGCUAUCAGGUGGGCAUUACUUUCAUAUAUAUCAAAUGAGUUUAAAUGUUACGUUCAAGCAAGUUAUUUCAUGACUAAAUUAAUUGAAGUUAUUUCAAAUAUUGUCUUGCCAUAAAAUGUUUAAAUUUCAGUAUGAUAUCUAUCUGAUGUGACUUUAAUCAUGUAAUCGAAUUCGGGUCUUGAGCAGUUGAUAUCUAUCCUGCCAGGGCUAGUGUACACCAGUGACCGUGAGUCAUCUAGCGGGUUGGCCGGUCAAGUGACCGUGAGAGGUGGCCACCUCUCCGGCACACAGUUCCAGAUAUGAUAGAUUACAAAAGAACUUAGUCUGCAGACGAACUUUAAGAAUCACAAAUGAAUUUAGUAAGCUUGGGCCUUUUUAGAGAAAAACUCCCUUGCUGUACUGUUUAUGAUGGCAUGACAAUUUACAACUUUACGAAGCAUGUUAUAUUUCAUAGUGGGCAUUACUUUCAUAUAUAUCAAAUGAGUUUAAAUGUUACGUUCAAGCAAGUUAUUUCAUGACUAAAUUAAUUGAAGUUAUUUCAAAUAUUGUCUUGCCAUAAAAUGUUUAAAUUUCAGUAUGAUAUCUAUCUGAUGUGACUUUAAUCAUGUAAUCGAAUUCGGGUCUUGAGCAGUUGAUAGCUAUCCUGCCAGGGCUAGUGUACACCAGUGACCGUGAGUCAUCUAGCGGGUUGGCCGGUCAAGUGACCGUGAGAGGUGGCCACCUCUCCGGCACACAGUUCCAGAUAUGAUAGAUUACAAAAGAACUUAGUCUGCAGACGAACUUUAAGAAUCACAAAUGAAUUUAGUAAGCUUGGGCCUUUUUAGAGAAAAACUCCCUUGCUGUACUGUUUAUGAUGGCAUGACAAUUUACAACUUUACGAAGCAUGUUAUAUUUCAUAGUAGGCAUAUGUGCCCACUGAGUACUUUUGUACUCAGCCCUGCAUAUAUUUCUAAAUGUGCAGGUUGAGCAGCUGCCGAUGGUGAUGAAGUGACGAGCGGGACUCUUUUGUCUUAUUAUGUAUUAAUGAACUCUAGGGUUACAUGUCUUCAUACAUGUAAUCAGAACCUUAUUCCGCUGCGUACUCAGAAGUUUUAUGUUAUUUUGGAUAAGUCGGAGUUAUCCGAACUUACUAGUUAUUUGAGUCUAUACGACUAAAACUCCGUUAUAUUAUAAAUAUCCCUGUUGUUAACAAUGAU
Molecule: long non-coding RNA, 1368 nt
Organism: Salvia miltiorrhiza (redroot sage)
Lineage: Eukaryota; Viridiplantae; Streptophyta; Magnoliopsida; Lamiales; Lamiaceae
Exons: 2
Source: RefSeq, a predicted model, not a curated record